RNAcentral lists this ribosomal RNA (1343 nucleotides) under uncultured bacterium. RNAcentral describes it as "16S ribosomal RNA". It matches the Rfam family "Bacterial small subunit ribosomal RNA", at positions 28 to 1378 of the family's 1533-position model. The record is from RNAcentral.
GACGAACGCUGGCGGCGUGCUUAACACAUGCAAGUCGAACGGAAAGGCCCUGCUUUUGUGGGGUGCUCGAGUGGCGAACGGGUGAGUAACACGUGAGUAACCUGCCCUUGACUUUGGGAUAACUUCAGGAAACUGGGGCUAAUACCGGAUAGGAGCUCCUGCUGCAUGGUGGGGGUUGGAAAGUUUCGGCGGUUGGGGAUGGACUCGCGGCUUAUCAGCUUGUUGGUGGGGUAGUGGCUUACCAAGGCUUUGACGGGUAGCCGGCCUGAGAGGGUGACCGGCCACAUUGGGACUGAGAUACGGCCCAGACUCCUACGGGAGGCAGCAGUGGGGAAUAUUGCACAAUGGGCGGAAGCCUGAUGCAGCAACGCCGCGUGCGGGAUGACGGCCUUCGGGUUGUAAACCGCUUUCGCCUGUGACGAAGCGUGAGUGACGGUAAUGGGUAAAGAAGCACCGGCUAACUACGUGCCAGCAGCCGCGGUGAUACGUAGGGUGCGAGCGUUGUCCGGAUUUAUUGGGCGUAAAGGGCUCGUAGGUGGUUGAUCGCGUCGGAAGUGUAAUCUUGGGGCUUAACCCUGAGCGUGCUUUCGAUACGGGUUGACUUGAGGAAGGUAGGGGAGAAUGGAAUUCCUGGUGGAGCGGUGGAAUGCGCAGAUAUCAGGAGGAACACCAGUGGCGAAGGCGGUUCUCUGGGCCUUUCCUGACGCUGAGGAGCGAAAGCGUGGGGAGCGAACAGGCUUAGAUACCCUGGUAGUCCACGCUGUAAACGGUGGGUACUAGGUGUGGGGUCCAUUCCACGGGUUCCGUGCCGUAGCUAACGCUUUAAGUACCCCGCCUGGGGAGUACGGCCGCAAGGCUAAAACUCAAAGGAAUUGACGGGGCCCCGCACAAGCGGCGGAGCAUGCGGAUUAAUUCGAUGCAACGCGUAGAACCUUACCUGGGUUUGACAUGGAUCGGGAGCGCUCAGAGAUGGGUGUGCCUCUUUUGGGGUCGGUUCACAGGUGGUGCAUGGCUGUCGUCAGCUCGUGUCGUGAGAUGUUGGGUUAAGUCCCGCAACGAGCGCAACCCUUGUUCACUGUUGCCAGCACGUUAUGGUGGGGACUCAGUGGAGACCGCCGGGGUCAACUCGGAGGAAGGUGGGGAUGACGUCAAGUCAUCAUGCCCCUUAUGUCCAGGGCUUCACGCAUGCUACAAUGGCUGGUACAGAGAGUGGCGAGCCUGUGAGGGUGAGCGAAUCUCGGAAAGCCGGUCUCAGUUCGGAUUGGGGUCUGCAACUCGACCUCAUGAAGUCGGAGUCGCUAGUAAUCGUAGAUCAGCAACGCUGCGGUGAAUACGUUCCCGGG